Molecule: ribosomal RNA, 492 nt
Filed under: uncultured bacterium
Lineage: Bacteria
Description: partial 16S ribosomal RNA
Rfam family: Bacterial small subunit ribosomal RNA
Source: RNAcentral
AGUGAACGCUGGCGGUAGGCCUAACACAUGCAAGUCGAACGGCAGCACAGUAAGAGCUUGCUCUUACGGGUGGCGAGUGGCGGACGGGUGAGGAAUACAUCGGAAUCUACUUUUUCGUGGGGGAUAACGUAGGGAAACUUACGCUAAUACCGCAUACGACCUACGGGUGAAAGCAGGGGAUCUUCGGACCUUGCGCGAUUGAAUGAGCCGAUGUCGGAUUAGCUAGUUGGCGGGGUAAAGGCCCACCAAGGCGACGAUCCGUAGCUGGUCUGAGAGGAUGAUCAGCCACACUGGAACGGAGACACGGUCCAGACGCCUACGGGAGGCACCAGUGGGGAAUAUUGGACAAUGGGCGCAAGCCUGAUCCAGCCAUACCGCGUGGGUGAAGAAGGCCUUCGGGUUGUAAAGCCCUUUUGUUGGGAAAGAAAAGCAGCAGGUUAAUACCCCGCUGUUCUGUCGGUACCCAAAGAAUAAGCACCGGCUAACUUCGUG